This is a long non-coding RNA of Oncorhynchus tshawytscha (Chinook salmon), 354 nucleotides long. The record is from Ensembl. Lineage: Eukaryota; Metazoa; Chordata; Actinopteri; Salmoniformes; Salmonidae.
CGGUCAAUGAAGAGACCUCGUAGGUGACCUGCUCAAAGGGUUCCGGGACUCUGCACACCUCCUCCACCACCUCCAUUCCUCUUGGGCCAGAGCAUCAACAGUUCCUCUGCCAAGUUCUCUGAGGUGUGUCUGUUGCUGAACUCAAAGCAGUCCAGAAGACAGCUGGACAUCGAACAAUCUUCAGUGAAGUGACAUGUAACCGACAUGUAAGAAGUGGUUACCCUUGAUGUCCAGCAGUCAGUGGGAAGGCAAACUGCAGUAGCUUUUUGGACUCUUUCCCACACUGAAGCCUGUGUGCUCUCGUACAGUUGAGGAAUAAGUGAUUUUGAAAAGGUUUUCCUGCUUGGAAUUGUG